CAAGUCGAACGAGAGAAGAGAAGCUUGCUUUUCCGAUCUAGUGGCGGACGGGUGAGUAACACGUGAGCAAUCUGCCUUUCAGAGGGGGAUACCGAUUGGAAACGAUCGUUAAUACCGCAUAAUAUAAUUGAACCGCAUGAUUUGAUUAUCAAAGAUUUAUCGCUGAAAGAUGAGCUCGCGUCUGAUUAGCUAGUUGGUAAGGUAACGGCUUACCAAGGCGACGAUCAGUAGCCGGACUGAGAGGUUGAUCGGCCACAUUGGGACUGAGACACGGCCCAGACUCCUACGGGAGGCAGCAGUGGGGAAUAUUGCACAAUGGAGGAAACUCUGAUGCAGCGAUGCCGCGUGAGGGAAGAAGGUUUUAGGAUUGUAAACCUCUGUCUUCAGGGACGAAAAAAGACGGUACCUGAGGAGGAAGCUCCGGCUAACUACGUGCCAGCAGCCGCGGUAAUACGUAGGGAGCGAGCGUUGUCCGGAAUUACUGGGUGUAAAGGGAGCGUAGGCGGGAUCGCAAGUCAGAUGUGAAAACUAUGGGCUUAACCCAUAAACUGCAUUUGAAACUGUGGUUCUUGAGUGAAGUAGAGGUAAGCGGAAUUCCUAGUGUAGCGGUGAAAUGCGUAGAUAUU
This 626-nucleotide ribosomal RNA is filed under the name uncultured bacterium. RNAcentral's name for it is "bacterial SSU rRNA". It matches the Rfam family "Bacterial small subunit ribosomal RNA", at positions 58 to 698 of the family's 1533-position model. The record is from RNAcentral.